AAACUACGGACGUGUGAAUGUACUUAACGGGAACCUUUCACCAUGAAAUUGCAGGGUAAUCGACAGGCAGCAUGUUAUAGAGCAGGAGGAGCUGAGCAGAUUGAUAUAUAGUUUUGUGGGAAAGAAUUCAUUACUUUAAAUCUCUACUCAUUCUGGGCUUAGGAGUCAUGUGGGCGGUCCUGCUCGGUGAUUGACAGCCUUCCCCAUAUAGGUGUACAUACAGACAGCUGUCAAUCACUGAUGGGACCGCCCACACGACUCCUAAGCCCAGAAUGAGUAGAGAUGUAAAUCAAUAAAACACGUUUUGCCAAAUCUUUUUCCAUAAAUCUAUAUAUCAAUCUGCUCAGCUCCUCCUGCUUUAUAACAUGCUGCCUGCCGAUUACCCUGCAAUUUCAUGGUGACGGGUUCCCUUUAAACAAGUCACUGGAGCAAUAAUGUUUUUAACUAUGUUCCCCUGGUAUAGAUAUCAAGGCUUGAAUAAAUAAACCUGGCACCUGGAGAAUGCAAAGAUAAUCUGUCACCAUGUAUUAGACCCUAAUAACAGUACUCUGUAUGGGGGGGGGGAGGGGUGAACAACCCCCAAAACUGGAUUAGAGGGGUGUUAAAAAGAGUGCAUCGCUCUAGGCCGAUUGGUCGAGAGGGAUCAAGUGACCUAUAGUGACAGGUGAUCUUUUUUACUGCUUGACUGUAACCUUGGUUUAUUGUAUUAUGUAGGUUCUUCUAUGGACUGUUGGUGUUUGUAAUUGUGAUAUGGGUCCACACUGGUUUCUAGAUGAAGCUUUGACGUAGCUGGUUUAAUUUCAUAUCUGUCUCUGAUCAAUAAGGCAGGGUUCUGCCUUGUAUAGCUGUGCACAUGAAUAAUCUUCAGCUCAUUUCUAAUGUUGACCUAGGGCCUUCGGUAUACCUGAAUAUUCUUAUUUAUUCCGACACAUCAUCGCCUUUCUCCCUAGGAUCAUCUCCCCCUGUAAUCCCUAUCCAGUAUAUGCAUAUGUGUAUUCACUAGUAAAUGUAAGUCUGAGUUAAAGGGGUUGUCCAGUCGUUAAUAUUGAUGACCUCCCCUGCCGAUCAGCUCCAUGCGAGCACCCCUUCCUGUUCAUUAUCCCGCACUUCGUCUUGGAAGUGCAGUGUAAUACAAGUACCAGUGCUUGUAAUCACACUACACCACCCUUCACAGGAGAUGAGGCCUAGUGUGAUGAGCGCCGCCGCAUUGUCAAACAGCUGAUCAGCGGGGGUGCCAUGUGUCAGACCGCCAAUGAUCGGAUAUUGAUGACCUAUCCUGACGACAGGUCAUCAAUAUUAAUGGCUGGACAACCCCUUUAAGCUUCUUAUAUCUGCGUUCUCAGAAGACACCCAGAGUCCUGAACGACAAGUUAUGCAGCAGCAAGUAGAUGUAUAACAAAACGUGAAACUGGGAAGGCUGUGUGACAGUCCUUCUGAAAGUUAGGUGUCAGUCCCUGUGGAAACGUUAAAUGUAGCUAUAUAGUUUGACACUCAGCUUUUCUGUGGAAGGGUGUUGAAAAACUGGGCUCAAAACCCCUAAGGAAGCUGCUCUGGUUGGCAUAUAGAGACAUUGGCCCACUUUACAAAUCCAUUCUCUGACCUGUAGUAAAGGUCAUUUUCUAACCAGCGACUGUAUUUGUGAGUUAUCCCCUCCCUUCUGAUCCUCAGCUGUGUCAUGUGACCAACACUCUGACUCU
This is a long non-coding RNA of Bufo bufo (common toad), 1697 nucleotides long. RefSeq lists it as uncharacterized. The record is from RefSeq and is a predicted model, not a curated record. Lineage: Eukaryota; Metazoa; Chordata; Amphibia; Anura; Bufonidae. The transcript has 3 exons.